CCGCAGAUAGAGAGAGAAGAUGCGAAGAGGAAGAAAGCGCGUCACAUUGUCGCACGCCGAUUGAGGAGCUUCGGUGGAUCGAGCAGACUGAUUUGAGAUUUCUGUGCCGUUUGCGAGUUAAGGUUUGGAUUUGUGGAAAGGGGUUUAGUCCCUGGCGGAGUUGGGCCUGAAUUUGUGGUAGCGAGAGAAGGCGGAUGUAGAUUCAGUGAGGGACAGAUGAAAGCUUCUUCGUUUUCUGGCCAAACAAAAUUACCAUAUUUGGUCAUAUUUCCGUUUAUGGAUGGAGAUCUCCUAAGGAGGCAAUUUUAGUGUUUUUUUCAGUUUAGAGAGGAAAAUCUUUAUCAUCCCAAAGAUAAAUAAAUAAAUAUAAUUUUAAAGAGUUUAAUUAUAAA
This is a long non-coding RNA of Malania oleifera, 392 nucleotides long. RefSeq lists it as uncharacterized. NCBI's taxonomy places the organism in Eukaryota, Viridiplantae, Streptophyta, Magnoliopsida, Santalales, Ximeniaceae. The record is from RefSeq and is a predicted model, not a curated record. The transcript has 2 exons.